RNAcentral lists this ribosomal RNA (480 nucleotides) under uncultured bacterium. RNAcentral describes it as "bacterial SSU rRNA". It matches the Rfam family "Bacterial small subunit ribosomal RNA", at positions 30 to 506 of the family's 1533-position model. The record is from RNAcentral.
UUGAACGCUGGCGGCAUGCUUUACACAUGCAAGUCGAACGGUAACAGGUCUUCGGAUGCUGACGAGUGGCGAACGGGUGAGUAAUGCAUCGGAACGUGCCCAGUCGUGGGGGAUAACGCAGCGAAAGCUGUGCUAAUACCGCAUGCGAUCUAUGGAUGAAAGCGGGGGAUCGCAAGACCUCGCGCGAUUGGAGCGGCCGAUGUCAGAUUAGCUAGUUGGUGGGGUAAAGGCCCACCAAGGCGACGAUCUGUAGCUGGUCUGAGAGGACGACCAGCCACACUGGGACUGAGACACGGCCCAGACUCCUACGGGAGGCAGCAGUGGGGAAUUUUGGACAAUGGGCGCAAGCCUGAUCCAGCAAUGCCGCGUGCAGGAAGAAGGCCUUCGGGUUGUAAAGCUCUUUCAGGAGGGAAGAAACGGUUGCAGCUAAUAUCUGCGACUAAUGACGGUACCUUCAGAAGAAGCACCGGCUAACUACGU